UUUUGGUGAUGUGGGCAUUUACAAAGUAGGUCCCUAAAGUUCUCCUAUGUCUCAAAAAAGAGUUCCCUAUCCAUCUGUGAGAAACUCGUGAUGGCUCUCCAAAGCU
Molecule: small nucleolar RNA, 106 nt
Organism: Malania oleifera
Lineage: Eukaryota; Viridiplantae; Streptophyta; Magnoliopsida; Santalales; Ximeniaceae
Source: RefSeq, a predicted model, not a curated record